UACGAGGGGUGCAAGCGUUGUUCGGAAUUACUGGGCGUAAAGCGUGCGGAGGCGGCUUGUUAAGUCUGAUGUGAAAGCCCUGGGCUUAACCCAGGAACUGCAACGGAAACUAGCAGGCUAGAGUUCGGGAGAGGGUCGUGGAAUUCUUGGUGUAGAGGUGAAAUUCGUAGAUAUCAAGAGGAACACCGGUGGCGAAGGCGGCGACCUGGACCGACACUGACGCUAAUACACGAAAGCGUGGGGAGCGAACAGG
RNAcentral lists this ribosomal RNA (253 nucleotides) under uncultured bacterium. RNAcentral describes it as "partial 16S ribosomal RNA". It matches the Rfam family "Bacterial small subunit ribosomal RNA", at positions 524 to 776 of the family's 1533-position model. The record is from RNAcentral.